AAUUCUGGCUCUGCUAUGCUAACUCUAUUGGCUACAUGCGAUGUUAUUGGAUCGACAGGUAUUAUUUUAUUGUGUUUUCUCGCAGAGUGCUUCAGGAGGAGGAGUGCUGGAUUGACUUAACUCAAAUACAAGGAAGAUGAGCAAGAAGAACCCACUUGUAUACUUGGACGUGUCUAUAGAUGGAGAUCCUAUUGAAAGAAUGGUUUUUGAGCUCUUCUCAGGUACUGUUCCUAAAACUGCUGAGAAUUUUCGGGCACUUUGUACUGGAGAAAAGGGGAAUGGUCAGAAGAAAACUGGAAGACCCUGCACUACAAGGGAUCCUUUUUCCAUCACAUAAUUAAAGGAUCUUUGGCUCAGGCAUAUGUCUAUUGGUGUUAUGUCAAACGGCUUGCGAAGUAGACAGCAACCAAGACUUGGAAUCCCAGAAAGAAGUGUCAUUCGUAAGGCUGGAAGCAUAUAUCUUCAUAAACAUGGAGAAGUUGACGGGUCAAAAGUACGCGUGCAGGUCGAUAUUGAAGAAAAAACUUGUGACGCAACCAACUCCUGGGGAUUAUGUAAUGCUUGCUUAUCACCAUUGAUGUGGGGAUUAACAACCAAAAACUAUUGCUUGAUGAGUUUUAUAUUGGUCUCAAACACAAGAAUGCCACUCGAAAGGAAUAUUAUGACUUACUUGAAGAGUUAUGUCUGCAGUCAAGCAAAGCUAUGGUCAAAAAGUGUUUGUGCAGUGUCUCUUAAAACUUAGAUUUACCCAAUAGCUCAUAAAUGUACCUAUCAGCCAAAUAUAAAACCACUCAGUUGGCGUUCAGUGAUGAUAUUUAUAUUGUUGAUUGAUGAUUUUCUA
This is a long non-coding RNA of Helianthus annuus (common sunflower), 841 nucleotides long. RefSeq lists it as uncharacterized. The transcript has 5 exons. The record is from RefSeq and is a predicted model, not a curated record. NCBI's taxonomy places the organism in Eukaryota, Viridiplantae, Streptophyta, Magnoliopsida, Asterales, Asteraceae.